UACGAAGGGGGCUAGCGUUGCUCGGAAUGACUGGGCGUAAAGGGCGCGUAGGCGGCUCAUACAGUCAGGCGUGAAAUUCCUGGGCUCAACCUGGGGACUGCGCUUGAGACGUGUGGGCUUGAGUGGGGAAGAGGGUCGUGGAAUUCCCAGUGUAGAGGUGAAAUUCGUAGAUAUUGGGAAGAACACCGGUGGCGAAGGCGGCGACCUGGUCCUUGACUGACGCUGAGGCGCAAAAGCGUGGGGAGCAAACAGG
Molecule: ribosomal RNA, 253 nt
Filed under: uncultured bacterium
Lineage: Bacteria
Description: partial 16S ribosomal RNA
Rfam family: Bacterial small subunit ribosomal RNA
Source: RNAcentral